AUUGAACGCUGGCGGAAUGCUUUACACAUGCAAGUCGAACGGUAGAGGGGGCAACCCCUUGAGAGUGGCGAACGGGUGAGUAAUAUAUCGGAACGUGCCCAGUCGUGGGGAUAACGUAGCGAAAGCUACGCUAAUACCGCAUACGAUCUAUGGAUGAAAGCGGGGGAUCGCAAGACCUCGCGCGAUUGGAGCGGCCGAUAUCAGAUUAGGUAGUUGGUGAGGUAAAGGCUCACCAAGCCGACGAUCUGUAGCUGGUCUGAGAGGACGACCAGCCACACUGGGACUGAGACACGGCCCAGACUCCUACGGGAGGCAGCAGUGGGGAAUUUUGGACAAUGGGCGCAAGCCUGAUCCAGCAAUGCCGCGUGCAGGAUGAAGGCCUUCGGGUUG
RNAcentral lists this ribosomal RNA (390 nucleotides) under uncultured bacterium. RNAcentral describes it as "bacterial SSU rRNA". It matches the Rfam family "Bacterial small subunit ribosomal RNA", at positions 30 to 425 of the family's 1533-position model. The record is from RNAcentral.